RNAcentral lists this small RNA (757 nucleotides) under Pan troglodytes (chimpanzee). RNAcentral's name for it is "retained intron". Lineage: Eukaryota; Metazoa; Chordata; Mammalia; Primates; Hominidae. The record is from RNAcentral.
CUCCGUUUUGCAGUUACGGUUCAGAUUGGGAGUCCCAGAAAUUAAAUCGGUCUCAGGAAAAAAGAUCCCAGAGAAGCAGAGAAAAUGAUUUAAACCAGAAUGGUUUGGAUUUCCUCUUGAUGUUGUAGCUAAGGGGAUUUUAAGGCCCUGCUGACCCUCGUUUGACUCUAGGCAGAGUUCCGGGAUUAUCCUCCAGUGCUGAGACAGGCCGUCUCCCUGGCCCGGCGCAUCCAGGACCCUCUGAUUGAAUUUGCCCAGGUGUGCAGUUCCGAUGAAGACAUCCUAUGUCUCAAGUUUCACCCCUUGCAGGUGAGUAGGAUUUGACAGGCAGGCUUGGGUGAAGGGUAAGGCAGAGUAACCUUACUCCUGCCUGCUGAAUGUCCACAGGAGCAUGUGGUGAAAGAGGAGCUGCUCAACGCCUUGUACUGUGAAUUUAUCAACCGAGUCAAUGAGGUCGGGGUCGAUGUCAACCGUGCCAUUGCCCACCCUUACAGCCAGGCCUUGAUCCAGUAUGUUUGUGGCUUGGGACCUCGGAAAGGGACCCACCUCCUGAAGAUCCUGAAGCAGAACAACACCCGGCUCGAGAGCCGGACCCAGCUGGUCACCAUGUGCCACAUGGGUCCCAAAGUCUUCAUGAAUUGUGCUGGCUUCCUCAAGAUCGACACGGCCUCCCUGGGGGACAGCACUGACUCAUAUAUUGAAGUCCUUGAUGGUUCCCGUGUCCACCCUGAGACUUAUGAGUGGGCUAGGAAGAUGG